UAAGUUCUGCCAUGUCCGUGAUGGUUAAUUUAGUUUUGGCCAACACCAAAUAGAAAGGGAGCCUGGACUCUGCCUGCGGCGUAUAUGCCUUUAACAGAGGGACAUACAAACCAGGUAGGAGGGCACCCACCUGGAAGACAGGGACCAAAAUAAAUGACCACACGGCAUGGCGGAACCGUU
RNAcentral lists this non-coding RNA (180 nucleotides) under Halothermothrix orenii H 168. RNAcentral's name for it is "6S / SsrS RNA". It matches the Rfam family "6S / SsrS RNA". From Rfam's summary of the family: E. coli 6S RNA was the first non coding RNA to be sequenced, but its function was unknown until recently. It consists of 184 nucleotides that fold into an extended hairpin structure with a large single-stranded internal bulge. The record is from Rfam by way of RNAcentral. Lineage: Bacteria; Bacillati; Bacillota; Clostridia; Halanaerobiales; Halothermotrichaceae.